This 486-nucleotide ribosomal RNA is filed under the name uncultured bacterium. RNAcentral's name for it is "partial 16S ribosomal RNA". It matches the Rfam family "Bacterial small subunit ribosomal RNA", at positions 28 to 507 of the family's 1533-position model. The record is from RNAcentral.
GACGAACGCUGGCGGCGUGCUUAACACAUGCAAGUCGAACGCUGAAGACCUGGCUUUUGUUGGGUUGGAUGAGUGGCGAACGGGUGAGUAACACGUGAGUAACCUGCCCUCUUCUUUGGGAUAACGCCCGGAAACGGGUGCUAAUACUGGAUAUUCACUGAUCUUCGCAUGGGGGUUGGUGGAAAGGUUUGUUCUGGUGGGGGAUGGGCUCGCGGCCUAUCAGCUUGUUGGUGGGGUGAUGGCCUACCAAGGCUUUGACGGGUAGCCGGCCUGAGAGGGUGGCCGGGCACAUUGGGACUGAGAGACGGGCCAGACUGCUACGGGAGGCAGCAGUGGGGAAUAUAGCACAAUGGGCGAAAGCCUGAUGCAGCGACGCCGCGUGAGGGAUGGAGGCCUUCGGGUUGUAAACCUCUUUCGCUCAUGGUCAAGCCGCAACUGUGGGUUGUGGUGAGGGUAGUGGGUAAAGAAGCGCCGGCUAACUACGUG